Molecule: ribosomal RNA, 440 nt
Filed under: uncultured bacterium
Lineage: Bacteria
Description: partial 16S ribosomal RNA
Rfam family: Bacterial small subunit ribosomal RNA
Source: RNAcentral
CCUACGGGAGGCAGCAGUGGGGAAUAUUGCACAAUGGGCGAAACCCUGAUGCAGCGACGCCGCGUGAGGGAAGAAGGAUCUCGGUAUGUUAAGCUCCAUCAGCAGGGAAGAAAAUGACGGUACCUGACUAAGAAGCCCCGGCCAACUAGGUGACGGCAGCCGCGGUAAUACGUAGGGGGCAGGCGUUAUCCGGAGUUACUGGGUGUAAAGGGAGCGUAGACGGCAGCAAAAGUCUGGAGUGAAAUCCCGGGGCUUAACCCCGGAACUGCUUUGGAAACUGGGCGGCUGGAGUGCAGGAGGGGUAAGCGGAAUUCCUGGUGUAGCGGUGAAAUGCGUAGAGAUUAGGAAGAACCCCGAUGGCGAAGGUAGCUUACCGGACUGUAACUGACGUUGAGGCUCGAAAGCGUGGGGAGCAAACAGGAUUAGAUACCCUAGUAGUC